ACUAAUCAAGUAAAAAUUUAGAACGAAGAAUUGUCCAAAAAGAACGUAGGAGAGGAGGAGACUCGCGCCGCCGCUCGCUGCCGUACCGCUGCUCUGGUUACCUGUACUUUCGGCCGCCGUGAGCUAUGUCUCUCUCUGCUAACUUCCGCGUUGUGAGUAUUAGAAUCUAAUCUGUGAUUCUGCAUUGCUGCACUGCUCUUAGAAAUUAAAUAGCCUGCUGAUGAUUUUGCACUUUUUGCAACCAUCAUUUACUUCUUCUAGUUUCUUUAAUCGACGUAGUCUGUUCUAUCGAGUUCCAUUCAGCCAUUCAAUAAUACUUCUCACAAUUUAUGUAAUUAAAAAGCAACUGAUCAUCAUUCUUAAUCAAUGUAUGUAUGUAUAUAUAUAUGUAUCAUUUAAUAUUGGUGUCAUAAAAGCUUGCUCAGUUUCAGGCUUCAAUUUAGAAAUAAGAAAAAAAGAAAAAUUGUAACUGCCGUACAGUAAUUUCUUUAUGAAACAAUAACUUAUUAUUAUUAUUAUUAUUAUUAUUAUUAUUAUUAUUAUUAUUAUUAUUAUUAUUAUUAUGUGUUUUCAAUUUUCAAAAGUUUAUGAAAUUUCUUUUUAAUUCUUUUUUAUUCAUUGAAAGGAAGCCGAUUGGUUUUGGGAUUAUUUCCACAUUUAUGAUCUGCUUCCAUUCGAUUUGGGGUAUUAUGAUUGAACCUCUUUCGUCGGCUUGUAUCGUUGGUGCUUCUAGUUAUCUCCUUUCGUUGGCAGCUGGAAAUCUGAAAAAAUGACCAAAAAUUAUACUAGGAAGGUUACGAAAAAUUUAACAGAACAAAACCCUUCUGCUCAAAAUAACUGAAAUACCACUACAGUUAGUACAAGUUAAUGAGGUGCACAAAUUCAAAUAUUUGUAUGAACUUUUAGAAUAAAAAACCCGACUAUAAAUAAAUAUAAUAUAUAUAUGUAUAUUGCAUAUAUGUAUUAUUAUUAUUAUUUUGGUUGAAUUUACCGUUUUUGCUUCAUUCAAAUUUGUUGUCGUGAAGCUUAUUAGUAAAGUUACAAAGCAGCAAAAUAAUGCAGGUAUCGACAGCAAGGCCAUUCAGAGGAAUUCAAAGAGGUGCAACGAGAGAAAGUAGCUGAUCCAGAUAUUCAACUUUCUUGUGAUGAUAAUAAAAUAUUUCAGUGGACCGCUCUUGUCAAGGGACCAUCAGAGACUCCUUUUGAAGGUGGUGUGUUUCAACUUGCCUUUGCAGUCCCCGAGCAGUAUCCUUUACAACCUCCUCAAGUGAGGUUCAUAACCAAAAAGUUUCAUCCUAAUGUUCACUUCAAGUUUCGAUUGACUUAAUGGCAAUCUUAUGUAACAUGAAUAUGGAAUCUCACCAAAGAUGUGGGCAAACAAAAGCUAGGAAACUCUUAGCCAGUAAAUCUUGGAAACAAAAAGUUCGAAAUUUCAGAAGAUCAUUAAAAUACUGAUUUCUACUAAUCUCAGAAGUUUUGAAUUGAUCUUCAUCGGGAUAAGUGACAUGUAUAUCAAACUUCUUAUUAUUGAUGGAUUAUCUUGGAAGUUUGAGUUGGGAGGCCACAGGGUCAAGGGACAAAUUUCUUGAAAGCUUACGAGAGGGAUCAGUUAAAGUCUAUCUAAAACUUUAUUUGAUGAAUUGGCAGUUGUGUUAUAAUAGGGUCAACGUUUAAUUGGUGCAUCAAUUGUAAAAAGAAUAUUUAAAGUUGAGUCAUCAUUAAAUAGCUUCCUGGUGGUGUUCUUCUUCUUUAAUUUUGUUUUUCCUUUGUAGACAGGAGAGAUUUCCCUUGAUAUCUUGAAGAAUGAAUGCAUGGAGCCCUGCGUGGACACUCCAAUCUGUUUGCAGAGCUAUUAUUGCUUUGAUGGCACAUCUAGAGCCUGAUAGUCCCCUCAAUUGUGAUUCAAGGUAAACUAGUCUUCCAGCUAAAUGACUAUAUCUUAUGUCGAAAAGCUUUGAGUGUAUCAGUAGUGGAUCUGUUAUAUUUUUCCUGCCAAAGAGCUUUGUCAUUAUUCCUUUUUAUUUUUUUCCGUGUGUGUGUGUGAGUGGUAGGAGAAUAAAAUUCAAAGUGCUUGGUUGGAGCAGAGCAGAAUAACAUUCCAAGUCACUAAACUUUAAUGGCCACUUGUUCCCCCUUCCUAGAUGUCAUUAACAACUUGUUUAAGAAUAUUUCUUGCUAGAUGUCUAAAAUCACUUGAGAAGAGAACAAUUGACGCUAACCACAUAAAUCUUAUAUUUACAAUUUUAUGUAAGUGUUUAUAAUUGGAGUGUUUUCAAGCUCCCUUUGGUUCCUAGUUACCCUCCUAGAUGUUGUUUAACAACUUUUUAGGAAUAUUUCUCGCUAGCUAUCUAAAAAUCAAUGAGAAGAGAACAAUUAACGCCAACCACAUAAAUCUUAUAUUUACAAUUUUUUUAGGUAUCGUGAAGAAUAGGUGUUUUCAUUUGGUUUCUUGCUUUUGUCUUUUGCACUCAUGGAAUUGGACCUAACCUACCACCUCACUUUUCAAAAGUGAAGUAAAUGAGUUAGCAAAAUAGUUUUUACCCCUCUUCGAGUAAUAUCAUUUCCUGAGGAAAGAAAGCAAGGUACUUCUAACUACACAAACUUCGUGAACUGUAAAAUGUACCCAUUUUUGAAACCUUAGAAUAAUUUUUCGACUAAGCUGUAUACAGGUAAUCUUCUGCCUCCGAGGACACCAAUCAAUGGCAAGUAUGUACACAAGGCAUGCAACCAUGCCUAAAAAAGGCUGAAGUGAAAUGCACUGUCUGGCUCUUUGCUUUUGUCUUUUUUUUUUCCUUCUUCUUUUCUUAUUGGUAGCCAUGUGCGCGGCUCUUUUGCUUUCAGUGUCAUCAUAACGUUGUACACCAUGCAUAUCCCUUAUGGUGAUCAUGGAUUAAAGAACCGUUCAAAACAUUUUAGUACCAAAGUUGUAAUUCCCACUUUACCUUUUCAGAUCAAAUGGAAAUUGGUAGUCCAUACUCUU
Long non-coding RNA from Humulus lupulus (European hop), 2980 nucleotides. RefSeq lists it as uncharacterized. The transcript has 5 exons. NCBI's taxonomy places the organism in Eukaryota, Viridiplantae, Streptophyta, Magnoliopsida, Rosales, Cannabaceae. The record is from RefSeq and is a predicted model, not a curated record.